This 253-nucleotide ribosomal RNA is filed under the name uncultured bacterium. Its description in RNAcentral is "partial 16S ribosomal RNA". It matches the Rfam family "Bacterial small subunit ribosomal RNA", at positions 524 to 776 of the family's 1533-position model. The record is from RNAcentral.
UACGAAGGGGGCUAGCGUUGUUCGGAAUCACUGGGCGUAAAGCGCACGCAGGCGGAUUGAUAAGUCGGGGGUGAAAUCCCGGGGCUCAACCUCGGAAUUGCCUUCGAUACUGUCUGUCUUGAGUCCGGGAGAGGUGAGUGGAAUUCCUAGUGUAGAGGUGAAAUUCGUAGAUAUUAGGAAGAACACCAGUGGCGAAGGCGGCCAUCUGGGAGGGCACUGACGCUGAGACGCGAAAGCGUGGGGAGCAAACAGG